Molecule: unclassified non-coding RNA, 240 nt
Filed under: soil metagenome
Description: partial contains 5.8S ribosomal RNA, internal transcribed spacer 2, and large subunit ribosomal RNA
Source: RNAcentral
AACAAGGCGUACCUGCGGACCUGCGGAAGGAUCAUUACACAUAUAAAGUAUGCCUGGGAAAAUUCGAAAGAAAAGUACCCAGGCGUAUUCUUAUACCCAUGUCUUUUGCGUACUACUUGUUUCCUUGGUGGGCUUGCCUGCCAUUAGGACACCCCUACAAACCUUUUGUAAUUGCAGUCAGCGUCAAAAAAUAACGUAAUCGUUACAACUUUUAACAACGGAUCUCAGAUCGGAAGAGCA